Molecule: long non-coding RNA, 555 nt
Filed under: Nicotiana benthamiana
Lineage: Eukaryota; Viridiplantae; Streptophyta; Magnoliopsida; Solanales; Solanaceae
Description: long non-coding RNA (NBEN_LNC025811)
Source: RNAcentral
GCCAGGGAACUUGUGACAGUGUUCCCUUCUUUUGAGCUAGUUCCUUACCUUCUUCAAUUUCCUCCCUAAUAGGUUGAAAUUGCUUAGGCAUAAAGCUUCCAAGAGUCAACGGAUUCAAUUGUUGCUGGAUUCCCGACUCCGGUGUCACUAUCGCACCAUUUUGCACAGCAUCAUCUUCCGGGUUAUGGUAUACUGUAGGUGCGGAUCCCAUUCCCGUUAACCAGCGAUUGGAUGGUUUAUUGCUGGUGUGACUUCCAAAGCUUCAUCUCCUCUAGAUUCUGGUUCCGAUUGCUGCUUCUUCCUCGGUGUCACUAUCGCACCAUUUUGCACAACAUCAUCUUCCGGGUUAUGGUAUACUGUAGGUGCGGAUCCCAUUCCCGUUAACCAGCGAUUGGAUGGUUUAUUGCUGGUGUGACUUCCAAAGCUUCAUCUCCUCUAGAUUCUGGUUCCGAUUGCUGCUUCUUCCUCGUCUUAGCCAUGGCAGAGGCGUCGGUUUCCACCCUGCUAACUUGCGCCCGCUAUGCUAGAGAGAGAAAGUCUUUGCUUGAAUUUUCC